This is a non-coding RNA of Manis javanica (Malayan pangolin), 1415 nucleotides long. NCBI's taxonomy places the organism in Eukaryota, Metazoa, Chordata, Mammalia, Pholidota, Manidae. The record is from RefSeq and is a predicted model, not a curated record.
GUGUGAAGAUGCAAUGAACACAGAGAGAUGGAAAAAGGAAAAUGGACACUUAAAGGCCAGAGAAUUCAUCCUUUCCCCAGUGUUAUGAAACCCUUAGACUGAAAUGAGACAGUAUCUUUGGAUGAGGUGUUAAUUAAAUUGAAAAAGAUGUAUGAGUUGGAAUUGGAAUUUUCCUGUUCAUCAUUAAUACAGAAUGUGACACAAUCACCUGGUGUCUGAAGACUAUAUUCAGUUCAGUCAGACAUUGGGUACAUUAGACUCAUGACUGAUACGAGAAACCCAGAGGGACUGAACAAUGUACCAAAGGUUUCCCAGCUGAUAAAGGGCAGAACCAGGAUUUGAACCAUGAUCCCUUGUCUACCAGGCCACUGUCAAAAUAUUGGACUGAUUUCUUUCAACCAAGGUCACACAGCGAUUUGGGGAAGACACUCUGCAAGAGUAUUCAAUCUAUCACCCUUCUUUCAUUGAGCAAUUUUCAAACUGUUGUACUGUAUUUUAAUAAUGUUAUGAAAAAUCCUAUACUAGUCUCAGUUUUAAGGAAAAGGCCAGAAAGUGAUCUAUUAAUGGCAACUUGAUUGAAAUAUUUGUGGUCUGUAUUUUAGCGGGAAGUCACUGAGGGCAAUGGCAGGAAAUAAAUUUGCCUUGCUAAUAGAAAACCCCAGAGCAGUAUAGAAUUGAAGAUCCAAUCAUGCUGCUUUCUUGUGAAUAAAACAUACAGAUUGAAAGCUAGGGAUGGAUUGAGCCAUCGCAUCGGAAUCACACAGAAUUAUAGGUUUGGUUCACAAAUUGCCGCUUGGGAUUGCAUUUACAUAAUAACAAGUGGCUGGCUGCUCUGAGGCCAAGGAAGCAAAUUCUCCCUGAACGCAGAAGAGGACAAUGUCCCCAGGCAUCUCCUGGUACCUGUGGGAAGUCACUGAAAAUCUACUGCAGCAACUGGAACAAGCCAGACUUUGAGCUUUGGACCUCUAAUUCUCGAGUUGAGGCUUGUUUUCGUCAUGUACUACAGCUUGUUUUUGAGAAUUAUCUGCAUGUCUGGACUGGGGUAAGAGCCUCUUGCCUACAAAGCCACAAGAAAAAAAUUCUGCAAAGCUCACAAACGUGUCCUACUGCUUCAGGAAUGGUUCAGGAACUGAUGUGGUCCAGGAAGUGUCCUUACAGGUGGACCCACUGUUGGGGAAAACCAAGGAGCUCUGGAAACCAAAGGAUUUAUCACUUUGCUUUUUACUAGCAAUAUAAAACCAUUAGUGUCCAUAUCUGGUAAAAGGAGAAGAUAAUGGUGAUGAUGAUGCAGAAGAAAAUACAUACUCAACAAGAAUAAAUUUCAGAUAAAAUGAAACACUGUAAACUGAAGCAUGAUGAUGAAAAUUUUGAUUCCAUCAAAGCUUUGCCAAACUAUUGUUCUUGACAAAAAUAUU